RNAcentral lists this long non-coding RNA (729 nucleotides) under Melopsittacus undulatus (budgerigar). RNAcentral's name for it is "lncRNA (ENSMUNG00000011076.2)". Lineage: Eukaryota; Metazoa; Chordata; Aves; Psittaciformes; Psittaculidae. The record is from RNAcentral.
CUCUCGUUUGUUUCUCCUGCUGUUUUUGGCUGCAUAGUCCUGUGCUUCAACAAAUUGUUGAAGUAUGGACUCAGUCCUAAAAACACUUGCCCCUGGGACUCCUGCAGUAAUCACUUCAAAGGGUCAAAUCCUCAGUGACCUGCUAAGUCCUGGACAUGUAAAGGGCUCAGUGCAGAAUCUCUUGGUCUGUGGAUCCUGGUGAACCAUGCUGGCAUUUCGCCUUCAGAGAGGUGGAAUUUGCAAGUCUAGACAACUACAAGAAUGUGGCAGAGAUCAACCUGUGGAGCACCAUAAGAAUGACAAAUUCUUUCCUGCCUUCAUUCCCAGAGCUAAAGAUCAUCAGUACAUGGAGGUUGCCUGGGAUCCAGAACCCAGAAUGAUUUCACUGAACUGCAGUUUAUGCAGUGUUGUAAUGAUUUCUGCCCCCUGCACUGUGAAAUAGGGAAGAAAUCUCAGUUGCAUUUGACAGUAAUCUUCAAAGCUGGAGGAUGGAGGAGCCAGAAGGAAGUUCAGUGAAAUCCCCUGGAAGUCCAUGCUCAUGGCUGCUGUGGUAUCCUACAAGGAGUUAGACUGCCAAAGGUGCUUAUGACUUUUUGUUGUUGUUUCCCCCAUCAAGGGCCAGCUGCUGAGGCUGUGGCAGUGUCCUGCUUUUUUCUGCAUGUUUCUCACAAAACUUUGGAAGACAGCAAUAAUCCAGGUCCUUGGUGCAUCCUUUAGCCUUUGUAAAGU